UCCGGCGGUUCUACCGGAGGGGUCACACCCGUUCCCAUCCCGAACACGGCAGUUAAGUCCUCCUGAGCCGAUGGUACUGCGCGGGCAACUGCGUGGGAGAGCAGGUCGCCGCCGGAU
This 117-nucleotide ribosomal RNA is filed under the name Acidobacteriota bacterium. Lineage: Bacteria; Pseudomonadati; Acidobacteriota. The record is from RNAcentral.